RNAcentral lists this ribosomal RNA (253 nucleotides) under uncultured bacterium. RNAcentral describes it as "partial 16S ribosomal RNA". It matches the Rfam family "Bacterial small subunit ribosomal RNA", at positions 524 to 776 of the family's 1533-position model. The record is from RNAcentral.
UACGUAGGGGGCUAGCGUUGUCCGGAUUUAUUGGGCGUAAAGCGCGUGUAGGCGGCCAGAUAGGUCUGCUGUGAAAACUCGAGGCUCAACCUCGAGCUGUCGGCGGAAACCAUCCGGCUAGAGUCCGGAAGAGGCGAGUGGAAUUCCCGGUGUAGCGGUGAAAUGCGCAGAUAUCGGGAGGAACACCUAUGGCGAAGGCAGCUCGCUGGGACGUUACUGACGCUGAGACGCGAAAGCGUGGGGAGCAAACAGG